Molecule: long non-coding RNA, 383 nt
Organism: Arabidopsis thaliana (thale cress)
Lineage: Eukaryota; Viridiplantae; Streptophyta; Magnoliopsida; Brassicales; Brassicaceae
Product: other RNA
Exons: 1
Source: RefSeq
AAUGAAAUUUAUGGAAGUUCUCCCAAUUUCCUCUUCUCAAAAUUCAAACCUCCACUCCAACAACAAUGGUCACUCAUGCAAUUUUAGGGAUUUAGUCUUGUUUUCUUUGCUAAUUUCAAUUUCUCUCCCAAUCAGAAAUUUCUCAAUCUCUCUCUUUCUCUCAAAUUUGCGGAAAAGGGGUUCCACAGCCUUUUGAGAAGAGAUCUUCAAUGUCUAUGCAAGAGGAACAAAAACCCAGCCUAUACGACCAACGUUGCUAUGGCAGAUGUUCUCAAAUCUCUUGAAAGUGUAAGUUUUCUUCAUCUGAUUCGCUCAAUUUCAUUUUGAAUCCGAACAAUUUUGUGUAUCGCUCACACUCACAUCAUUAACAAAGAUUAAAAGUU